Molecule: transfer RNA, 69 nt
Filed under: Ictidomys tridecemlineatus (thirteen-lined ground squirrel)
Lineage: Eukaryota; Metazoa; Chordata; Mammalia; Rodentia; Sciuridae
Description: Spermophilus tridecemlineatus (thirteen-lined ground squirrel) tRNA
Rfam family: tRNA
About the family: Transfer RNA (tRNA) molecules are approximately 80 nucleotides in length. Their secondary structure includes four short double-helical elements and three loops (D, anti-codon, and T loops).
Source: Rfam by way of RNAcentral
GGGGUUGUGGCUCAGAGGUAGAGCACUUGCCUAGUAUGCGUGAAGCACUGGGUUCAAUCCUCAGCACCA